Manihot esculenta (cassava) is the source of this 809-nucleotide long non-coding RNA. RefSeq lists it as uncharacterized. The transcript is spliced from 2 exons. Lineage: Eukaryota; Viridiplantae; Streptophyta; Magnoliopsida; Malpighiales; Euphorbiaceae. The record is from RefSeq and is a predicted model, not a curated record.
UGGAAAGUGAAAAUUGGGUCGGGACAUGUUACUGGGCUCACAUUGCUGCUUUACUUGACUAGCAAGCGGCGUCGUUUCUGGUGCGCUUACCAAACUUAGACGUCGAAAGGGGAGCUGCGCCCGACUGCGACUCCGAUUACGGCAACGAAGGCAAUCGACAGGAGCGUACCGGCGCCCGGCAGAUCACCAACAUUCUAUUUCUCAUUGGAGUGACUCCAGAUUUCUCAUUGGAGUGACCAUAAAGAAUAGUGUGGAAGGCUAUAGCGACAAAUGAAGCUUGCAGAUGACUUGAACGACUUCCCUCUCACUUUUACUCUAGAACUACUCUUCUGGUAAACGGUAAUUACUAAUGGCCUUUGAGCUACAGAACUGAUUGAUGCCAGGGUUUUUUUUUUAUUAUUAUUUUAUUUUACUUUUAAUCUUCCUUUAUGUGGAUCAUGGUGACUAUCGCUUUCCUCAUUGGUUUUUAGAAUAUAGAAAGAAAAGGAAGGUUUUAUAAGUAAAUUUUGGAGUGGAGUUAAUUUAGAUAGAGAAUUUGUGCAUUUUUGUUCAAUAUAUGGUACAGUUGAAAAGACAACCUGCCUGGGCAGUUCUAGUUUUUCUCUGUGCUUGGUGGUGCAAAAGGUUAAGCCAUGAGACAGAUACUAUGGAACUCUAUCAAUGCAGAUGCUUCACCAUUUUUUGUAAAACUUUUUUAUUUGAGCUCAAAUUGACCUUGUCCAUGCAUUAGUUGACAAGCCAGAGAAUUGAAGGUUGGAUUCUGUCUAUUGACAUAUGCUCAAGUCGUGGUAUUAUAUUAUGCUUUUAGA